Molecule: ribosomal RNA, 2933 nt
Filed under: Escherichia coli
Lineage: Bacteria; Pseudomonadati; Pseudomonadota; Gammaproteobacteria; Enterobacterales; Enterobacteriaceae
Description: 23S ribosomal RNA
Rfam family: Bacterial large subunit ribosomal RNA
Source: RNAcentral
GGGUUGUGAGGUUAAGCGACUAAGCGUACACGGUGGAUGCCCUGGCAGUCAGAGGCGAUGAAGGACGUGCUAAUCUGCGAUAAGCGUCGGUAAGGUGAUAUGAACCGUUAUAACCGGCGAUUUCCGAAUGGGGAAACCCAGUGUGAUUCGUCACACUAUCAUUAACUGAAUCCAUAGGUUAAUGAGGCGAACCGGGGGAACUGAAACAUCUAAGUACCCCGAGGAAAAGAAAUCAACCGAGAUUCCCCCAGUAGCGGCGAGCGAACGGGGAGCAGCCCAGAGCCUGAAUCAGUGUGUGUGUUAGUGGAAGCGUCUGGAAAGGCGCGCGAUACAGGGUGACAGCCCCGUACACAAAAAUGCACAUACUGUGAGCUCGAUGAGUAGGGCGGGACACGUGGUAUCCUGUCUGAAUAUGGGGGGACCAUCCUCCAAGGCUAAAUACUCCUGACUGACCGAUAGUGAACCAGUACCGUGAGGGAAAGGCGAAAAGAACCCCGGCGAGGGGAGUGAAAAAGAACCUGAAACCGUGUACGUACAAGCAGUGGGAGCACAGAGCAAUCUGUGUGACUGCGUACCUUUUGUAUAAUGGGUCAGCGACUUAUAUUCUGUAGCAAGGUUAACCGAAUAGGGGAGCCGAAGGGAAACCGAGUCUUAACUGGGCGUUAAGUUGCAGGGUAUAGACCCGAAACCCGGUGAUCUAGCCAUGGGCAGGUUGAAGGUUGGGUAACACUAACUGGAGGACCGAACCGACUAAUGUUGAAAAAUUAGCGGAUGACUUGUGGCUGGGGGUGAAAGGCCAAUCAAACCGGGAGAUAGCUGGUUCUCCCCGAAAGCUAUUUAGGUAGCGCCUCGUGAAUUCAUCUCCGGGGGUAGAGCACUGUUUCGGCAAGGGGGUCAUCCCGACUUACCAACCCGAUGCAAACUGCGAAUACCGGAGAAUGUUAUCACGGGAGACACACGGCGGGUGCUAACGUCCGUCGUGAAGAGGGAAACAACCCAGACCGCCAGCUAAGGUCCCAAAGUCAUGGUUAAGUGGGAAACGAUGUGGGAAGGCCCAGACAGCCAGGAUGUUGGCUUAGAAGCAGCCAUCAUUUAAAGAAAGCGUAAUAGCUCACUGGUCGAGUCGGCCUGCGCGGAAGAUGUAACGGGGCUAAACCAUGCACCGAAGCUGCGGCAGCGACGCUUAUGCGUUGUUGGGUAGGGGAGCGUUCUGUAAGCCUGCGAAGGUGUGCUGUGAGGCAUGCUGGAGGUAUCAGAAGUGCGAAUGCUGACAUAAGUAACGAUAAAGCGGGUGAAAAGCCCGCUCGCCGGAAGACCAAGGGUUCCUGUCCAACGUUAAUCGGGGCAGGGUGAGUCGACCCCUAAGGCGAGGCCGAAAGGCGUAGUCGAUGGGAAACAGGUUAAUAUUCCUGUACUUGGUGUUACUGCGAAGGGGGGACGGAGAAGGCUAUGUUGGCCGGGCGACGGUUGUCCCGGUUUAAGCGUGUAGGCUGGUUUUCCAGGCAAAUCCGGAAAAUCAAGGCUGAGGCGUGAUGACGAGGCACUACGGUGCUGAAGCAACAAAUGCCCUGCUUCCAGGAAAAGCCUCUAAGCAUCAGGUAACAUCAAAUCGUACCCCAAACCGACACAGGUGGUCAGGUAGAGAAUACCAAGGCGCUUGAGAGAACUCGGGUGAAGGAACUAGGCAAAAUGGUGCCGUAACUUCGGGAGAAGGCACGCUGAUAUGUAGGUGAAGUCCCUCGCGGAUGGAGCUGAAAUCAGUCGAAGAUACCAGCUGGCUGCAACUGUUUAUUAAAAACACAGCACUGUGCAAACACGAAAGUGGACGUAUACGGUGUGACGCCUGCCCGGUGCCGGAAGGUUAAUUGAUGGGGUUAGCGCAAGCGAAGCUCUUGAUCGAAGCCCCGGUAAACGGCGGCCGUAACUAUAACGGUCCUAAGGUAGCGAAAUUCCUUGUCGGGUAAGUUCCGACCUGCACGAAUGGCGUAAUGAUGGCCAGGCUGUCUCCACCCGAGACUCAGUGAAAUUGAACUCGCUGUGAAGAUGCAGUGUACCCGCGGCAAGACGGAAAGACCCCGUGAACCUUUACUAUAGCUUGACACUGAACAUUGAGCCUUGAUGUGUAGGAUAGGUGGGAGGCUUUGAAGUGUGGACGCCAGUCUGCAUGGAGCCGACCUUGAAAUACCACCCUUUAAUGUUUGAUGUUCUAACGUUGACCCGUAAUCCGGGUUGCGGACAGUGUCUGGUGGGUAGUUUGACUGGGGCGGUCUCCUCCUAAAGAGUAACGGAGGAGCACGAAGGUUGGCUAAUCCUGGUCGGACAUCAGGAGGUUAGUGCAAUGGCAUAAGCCAGCUUGACUGCGAGCGUGACGGCGCGAGCAGGUGCGAAAGCAGGUCAUAGUGAUCCGGUGGUUCUGAAUGGAAGGGCCAUCGCUCAACGGAUAAAAGGUACUCCGGGGAUAACAGGCUGAUACCGCCCAAGAGUUCAUAUCGACGGCGGUGUUUGGCACCUCGAUGUCGGCUCAUCACAUCCUGGGGCUGAAGUAGGUCCCAAGGGUAUGGCUGUUCGCCAUUUAAAGUGGUACGCGAGCUGGGUUUAGAACGUCGUGAGACAGUUCGGUCCCUAUCUGCCGUGGGCGCUGGAGAAUUGAGGGGGGCUGCUCCUAGUACGAGAGGACCGGAGUGGACGCAUCACUGGUGUUCGGGUUGUCAUGCCAAUGGCACUGCCCGGUAGCUAAAUGCGGAAGAGAUAAGUGCUGAAAGCAUCUAAGCACGAAACUUGCCCCGAGAUGAGUUCUCCCUGACUCCUUGAGAGUCCUGAAGGAACGUUGAAGACGACGACGUUGAUAGGCCGGGUGUGUAAGCGCAGCGAUGCGUUGAGCUAACCGGUACUAAUGAACCGUGAGGCUUAACCUUACAACGCCGAAGGUGUUU